RNAcentral lists this long non-coding RNA (497 nucleotides) under Homo sapiens (human). RNAcentral describes it as "non-protein coding lnc-DCT-17:1". Lineage: Eukaryota; Metazoa; Chordata; Mammalia; Primates; Hominidae. The record is from RNAcentral.
AUGGUCAACCCCACUGUGUUCUUCGACUUCACUGUCAACAGCGAGCCCUUGGGCCGCAUCUCCUUCGAGCUGUUUGUGGACAAGUUUCCAAAGACAGCAGAAAACUUUCAUGCUGUGAGCACUAGAGAGAAAGGAUUUGGUUAUAAGGGUCCCUGCUUUCACAGAAUUAAUCCAGGGUUUAUGUGUCGGGGUGGUGACUUCUCAUGCAUAAUGGCACUUGUGGCAAGUCCAUCUACGGGGAGAAAUUUGAUGACGAGAACUUCAUCCUAAAGCAUACAGGUCCUGGCAUCUUGUCCAUGGCAAAUGCUGGGCCCAAAACAAAUGGUUCCCAGUUUGUCAUCUGCACUGCCAAGACUGAGUGGUUGGAUGGCAAGCAUGUGGUCUCUGGCAGGGUGAAAGAAGGCAUGAAUAUUGUGGAGGCCCUGGAGCACUUUGGGUCCAGGAAUGGCAAGACCAGCAAGAAGGUCACCAUUGCUGACAGUGGACAACUCAAAUAA